GAUGAAGAACGCAUCGAAAUGCGAUAAGUAAUGUGAAUUGCAGAAUUCAGUGAAUCAUCGAAUCUUUGAACGCACAUUGCGCCCCCUGGAAUUCCGGGGGGCAUGCCUGUUCGAGCGUCUCAGGGACGAACCCUCGCGCGGGUGUACGCGCGGUCGUGGCUGCGGUGGCGUGCCCGAGGCGGCGGCCACCGCGCUGGAAUCCAUGGGCGGACGCCUGCCGCGUGGCCGAGCGUGAUAUGACGCAUUGGCGCUCGCACGCGGCGAGGCUGCCAGCCCUGGCCCGUCUGUCGGGCGGGGGAGAGCAAGACACGUGAACUCCUCGAAUCAGGUAGGGAUACCCGCUGAACUUAAGCAUAUCAAUAAGCGGAGGA
RNAcentral lists this unclassified non-coding RNA (371 nucleotides) under soil metagenome. RNAcentral describes it as "partial contains 5.8S ribosomal RNA, internal transcribed spacer 2, and large subunit ribosomal RNA". The stretch from base 1 to 120 matches the Rfam family "5.8S ribosomal RNA", at positions 35 to 154 of the family's 154-position model. The record is from RNAcentral.